RNAcentral lists this ribosomal RNA (253 nucleotides) under uncultured bacterium. Its description in RNAcentral is "partial 16S ribosomal RNA". It matches the Rfam family "Bacterial small subunit ribosomal RNA", at positions 524 to 776 of the family's 1533-position model. The record is from RNAcentral.
UACGUAGGGCGCAAGCGUUAUCCGGAAUUAUUGGGCGUAAAGAGCUCGUAGGCGGUUUGUCGCGUCGGCCGUGAAAACUUGGGGCUUAACUCCAAGCUUGCGGUCGAUACGGGCAGACUUGAGUUCGGCAGGGGAGACUGGAAUUCCUGGUGUAGCGGUGAAAUGUGUAGAGAUCGGGAGGAACACCGGUGGCGAAGGCGGGUCUCUGGGCAUCUCCUGACGCUGAGGCGCGAAAGCGUGGGGAGCAAACGGG